RNAcentral lists this ribosomal RNA (460 nucleotides) under uncultured bacterium. RNAcentral describes it as "partial 16S ribosomal RNA". It matches the Rfam family "Bacterial small subunit ribosomal RNA", at positions 338 to 795 of the family's 1533-position model. The record is from RNAcentral.
CCUACGGGAGGCGGCAGUGAGGAAUAUUGGUCAAUGGGCUUACGCCUGAACCAGCCAAGUCGCGUGAGGGAAGACUGCCCUAUGGGUUGUAAACCUCUUUUGUCAGGGAGCAAUUGGCGCUACGUGUAGCGUUAUCGAGAGUACCUGAAGAAAAAGCAUCGGCUAACUCCGUGCCAGCAGCCGCGGUAAUACGGAGGAUGCGAGCGUUAUCCGGAUUUAUUGGGUUUAAAGGGUGCGUAGGCGGAAUGCCAAGUCAGCGGGAAAAUCGCGGGGCUCAACCUCGCUCCGCCGUUGAAACUGGCGUUCUUGAGUGGGCGAGAAGUAUGCGGAAUGCGUGGUGUAGCGGUGAAAUGCAUAGAUAUCACGCAGAACUCCGAUUGCGAAGGCAGCAUACCGGCGCCCAACUGACGCUGAAGCACGAAAGCGUGGGUAUCGAACAGGAUUAGAUACCCUUGUAGUC